Molecule: ribosomal RNA, 468 nt
Filed under: uncultured bacterium
Lineage: Bacteria
Description: partial 16S ribosomal RNA
Rfam family: Bacterial small subunit ribosomal RNA
Source: RNAcentral
GACGAACGCUGGCGGCGUGCUUAACACAUGCAAGUCGAACGGAAAGGCCCUGCUUUUGUGGGGUGCUCGAGUGGCGAACGGGCGAGUAACACGUGAGUAACCUGCCCUUGACUUUGGGAUAACUUCAGGAAACUGGGGCUAAUACCGGAUAGGAGCUCCUGCUGCAUGGUGGGGGUUGGAAAGUUUCGGCGGUUGGGGAUGGACUCGCGGCUUAUCAGCUUGUUGGUGGGGUAGUGGCUUACCAAGGCUUUGACGGGUAGCCGGCCUGAGAGGGUGACCGGCCACAUUGGGACUGAGAUACGGCCCAGACUCCUACGGGAGGCAGCAGUGGGGAAUAUUGCACAGUGGGCGGAAGCCUGAUGCAGCAACGCCGCGUGCGGGAUGACGGCCUUCGGGUUGUAAACCGCUUUCGCCUGUGACGAAGCGUGAGUGACGGUAAUGGGUAAAGAAGCACCGGCUAACUACGUG